GGGUUGUGAGGUUAAGCGACUAAGCGUACACGGUGGAUGCCCUGGCAGUCAGAGGCGAUGAAGGGCGUGCUAAUCUGCGAUAAGCGCCGGUAAGGUGAUAUGAACCGUUAUAACCGGCGAUACCCGAAUGGGGAAACCCAGUGUGACUCGUCACACUAUCAUUAACUGAAUCCAUAGGUUAAUGAGGCGAACCGGGGGAACUGAAACAUCUAAGUACCCCGAGGAAAAUAAAUCAACCGAGAUUCCCCCAGUAGCGGCGAGCGAACGGGGAGGAGCCCAGAGCCUGAAUCAGCAUGUGUGUUAGUGGAAGCGUCUGGAAAGGCGCGCGAUACAGGGUGACAGCCCCGUACACAAAAGCGCAUGUGCUGUGAGCUCGAUGAGUAGGGCGGGACACGUGGUAUCCUGUCUGAAUAUGGGGGGACCAUCCUCCAAGGCUAAAUACUCCUGACUGACCGAUAGUGAACCAGUACCGUGAGGGAAAGGCGAAAAGAACCCCGGCGAGGGGAGUGAAAAAGAACCUGAAACCGUGUACGUACAAGCAGUGGGAGCCCCACCACCAAAGCAUUCUCUGGUGUUGAAGGCCCUGCAAAGCAGCAUCGCGGUGGCGGAGCGUCGUUUGCGACGCCCAACACACAAAACAAGCGGUGAGUGCUUUGGGGUGGGGUGACUGCGUACCUUUUGUAUAAUGGGUCAGCGACUUAUAUUCUGUAGCAAGGUUAACCGAAUAGGGGAGCCGGAGGGAAACCGAGUCUUAAUUGGGCGUUAAGUUGCAGGGUAUAGACCCGAAACCCGGUGAUCUAGCCAUGGGCAGGUUGAAGGUUGGGUAACACUAACUGGAGGACCGAACCGACUAAUGUUGAAAAAUUAGCGGAUGACCUGUGGCUGGGGGUGAAAGGCCAAUCAAACCGGGAGAUAGCUGGUUCUCCCCGAAAGCUAUUUAGGUAGCGCCUCGUGAAUUCAUCUCCGGGGGUAGAGCACUGUUUCGGCUAGGG
Molecule: ribosomal RNA, 992 nt
Filed under: Salmonella enterica
Lineage: Bacteria; Pseudomonadati; Pseudomonadota; Gammaproteobacteria; Enterobacterales; Enterobacteriaceae
Description: partial 23S ribosomal RNA
Rfam family: Bacterial large subunit ribosomal RNA
Source: RNAcentral